CCCUUAGAUGUUCUGGGCCGCACGCGUGCUACACUGAGUGGAUCAGCGGGUCAGGUUGCGCGAAAGCGUUUCCUAAUCUUUAAAUCCGCUCGUGAUGGGGAUUGACGGUUGCAAUUUUCUGUCAUGAACGAGGAAUACCUUGUAAGCGCGGGUCAUCAUCCCGCGCUGAUUACGUCCCUGCCCUUUGUACACACCGCCCGUCGCUACUACCGAUUGAAUGGUUUAGUGAGGACUCCUGAUUGGCGCCGCCGCCCCGGCAACGGAGCAGCGGACUGCCGAAAAGUUGUUCAAACUUGAUCAUUUAGAGGAAGUAAAAGUCGUAACA
This 325-nucleotide ribosomal RNA is filed under the name uncultured eukaryote. RNAcentral describes it as "partial 18S ribosomal RNA". It matches the Rfam family "Eukaryotic small subunit ribosomal RNA", at positions 1470 to 1796 of the family's 1831-position model. The record is from RNAcentral.